Molecule: long non-coding RNA, 1120 nt
Organism: Lepidothrix coronata (blue-crowned manakin)
Lineage: Eukaryota; Metazoa; Chordata; Aves; Passeriformes; Pipridae
Exons: 2
Source: RefSeq, a predicted model, not a curated record
UUUUUCUUGCCCUUAAGAAAAAAAUAAAUAGCUGUUAGUUAGUUGCCCCUCUGCUGUAGAAGCAGCAAUCCAUUGACUGCUGCAGCAUUUUAGAACAGAAUAACUGACUGGAAAGCUGAUAAACUUCCUAUGGUAUUUUACAUACACCAGGUGCCUUCAACUGGCCAGGGGUACCGGCCUGCACCACGGUCCUUCAGAAGGGGGAUGCAGGUACAGCGGUGCUUUCAGUGAUGGAGCACAAGAGAAAAGCAGAUCCUGCACGCUUUAAUGAUCAAUAACUUUUGUCUCUGGUGUUCGAGAGCCUCACAGACUGUGUGGGUGUCUGUCCCCAAUAGGUGCUAUUUCUCUGUGCUCACACGGAAGUUCUGGGAAUUUGGUAUCCCUGCUUUUAGGUUUUACAAAUACCUGGAACACCUUCGAACAGCUCAGAGGCUGGAGGCUGAAACAGCGGUUUUCUUAAUGUGCUUUCUUAAUGUACCAAAAAUGAGGCAAUUUUUUCCCAAGUUGUGUGUGUGUCUCUCACACCCUCUCCAGGGGCAUGCUCACGACACCCACUGAGGCUGUAAUGCUCUGCAGGCCUCUAACACAGGAACACUGGUUUUACUCAAGUGUACUUUUAACCACAUAUACAAAAGUAGCACCCACUUUGACUUUUUAUACUCACCCCAAGAUUUGUCCACAAACUGAACUGCAGCUUUUUUAACUGGGUCUUUCUUGUUUGCAAGUGAAAAAAAUUCAUUUGCUGAAAUGGAAAUGAGUGUUAAUUACCAAGUUUAAGCCAGACAAGACUAGAUGCAGACCUGCCUAACCAAAACUGCUUACCCUGUACCCGGUUGGUGUGUGGCCCAUAGAGCUGAGCAUUUAGAAAGUCUUUGGCGAGCUGUUGGUGGAGGCCUGUUAAACUCUGAUCUUUUAAGCAGACAGCUGCGUAGUUUCCUUUUGACCUAGUUAAAAAGACAGAUGUAAAUCCCUUUACCAUGGUUACAGAACCCAGAACAACACACACACUGGUGUCAAGCUUUGCUACUUGAGCACAACUGCAGCAGUUGCUGGUUUCUGAUGCUCAGAUGAGCUUGGUGGCAGUAUUAAAAAAAAUUAAAAAUAGAACCAAAACUCUGAA